UUUGGGUCUUCGGGUGUUGGU
Molecule: non-coding RNA, 21 nt
Filed under: Arabidopsis thaliana (thale cress)
Lineage: Eukaryota; Viridiplantae; Streptophyta; Magnoliopsida; Brassicales; Brassicaceae
Source: RNAcentral